UUGCCCCAGCAUUCUUUCACAAACCAAAACCAACUUCUAAGAAAAAAAUGAGGUCCCUAAUGGCCUCUGCUUCUCUCACUCUUGCAUUAGCCAUCCUCUUUUUGAGUUUCCCAUCUGAAAUUUCAGCAAACAAAUACGCAUAUUCCUCUCCACCACCACCACAUUACUCAUCUCCUCCACCUCCACCGGUUCACACUUACCCUAAACCAGUCUACCACUCUCCACCACCACCAGUUCACACCUACCCUAAACCAGUUUACCACUCUCCACCACCACCAGUUCACAAGUACCCUCACCCUAAACCAGUAUACCACUCUCCACCACCCCCAGUUCACAAGUACCCUCAUCCACACCCAGUCUACCAUUCUCCACCACCCCCAGUUCACAAGUACCCCCAUCCUCACCCAGUGUACCACUCUCCCCCACCACCACCACCAAAGAAGUCCUACAAAUACCCAUCUCCCCCACCACCACCAGUUCACACCUACCCUAAACCAGUCUACCACUCUCCUCCACCCCCAGUUCAUCACACCUACCCUAAACCAGUCUACCACUCUCCUCCACCCCCAGUUCACACCUACCCUCACCCUAAACCAGUCUACCACUCUCCACCACCCCCAGUUCACACUUACCCUAAACCAGUCUACCACUCCCCACCACCACCAGUUCACACCUACGUCCCUCACCCUAAGCCAGUCUACCACUCUCCACCACCACCAGUUCACACCUAUCCCCCACAUGUUCCCCACCCAGUUUACCAUUCUCCUCCUCCUCCAGUUCAUUCCCCACCUCCACCACACUAUUACUACAAAUCACCUCCUCCACCUUACCACAACUAGAUAGCCCAUAAUUGGCAUCACACCAUAUGGUAACUUUUCAUGCAACAUAUAUAUUAUAACUUUUCAUAUUCUCUCUUUAUUAACUAGUUAUCGGUAUGAUUGUCGAGUAUAUACUAACAAGGCUAAUUUGAAAUGAAACUUCAUGUGCAAUGAAACAUUCUUUUACUGGUUAAUAUUUUAUUCUAUGUUUCAUUGAAAUUAAUAUUUUUCUAAUAGUAUUUGGUUAUUAAGGGAUUAGAGUAUAUCAGACAUAAACUGACAGAUCAAUAUAUUUGCAUUUGUGUAGGAUCUAAACAGAAAGUGUGAAAGCAAAGAAAGCCAUGCACAAAGAAGAUCAAGGGGAUUCUUCACAUAUAUUUCGUCAGCAUUUGAUUAAGAUUGUUUAGAGGGCUCCGUUUAUUUGUAUUUAAUUUGUGUUUUUGUUGUAUUAUCCACAGCUGUAAGGCACUGCCCCAAUAUGCAUGUGUCUGCAGUUGUUUUCAUGCAUUGUAAUUUUCAAAGUUCGGCUUUGUAUCAAGCUGACUCACAAACUAAAUAAAUAUAUAUCCCCUAUUAUAGUAAUCUGUCCCUUUCAUCUAUGACUCCUUUUAUAUUACUAUUCUUGUGAUAAAAAUAAUCUGUGUUUAUUUGUUUCUACUAAUUAUUUUUGGUUUACCUUUCUCCGUACAAAUAAAAUUUAGUUUAAAAGUGAAUUUGACAGCACUUUUAAGAGAAACCUAAAAGAAAUAGAAGAAUAAUGCUUCUCAAAAGAUUAAAAAAAGACCACUAUAUUAUAUAUAUGUGAACCAAGGAUCAUGUCUCAAUGUGUGUGUUUUUUCUUUUAACGAGAAAGAUCUAUAAUUAUAAUGUAAACAAGAGUACAAUGAGUACUACAACUCACUACAAAAAGAGGUGCAACACUUCAAACGAAAAAAAUAGCACACACCAUAAGCAAUACAAAAGCAUUAGUCUACAAAGCCAAUAGGGUGGCAUUUAACAUGGGGCAGUAAAAUUUUAUCCCACCAUGGAAAAGUGGAUCCAUUAUGGGCAGGUGGCAGUUUUAACUUGCUGCAGUUAAAAAAAGAAGAAAAAAAAAAUUACUUAUUAUUUUAUUCGGUUUCAACUUGCUAUUUCACCUCCUUGUUGCUGCAAUAAAAAAGGAUCUCCAGUAAAUUUGCUCCAAACCAACCCCAUCGGCCAUCUCUACACCUCAUCUGCGCCAAUCCACCAUUGUGUUUUUCUCUUACCAUCUUCAUGAGGAGCUGUUGAGAGUGAUGCCCAAUUGGCCAUGAAAUAUAUCCAACCAAUUUGCGCUCAAAUUUUCCAUGAAUGCAAAACAGACUCCUUUUGUUUGACACAUGCAUUUAUAUUUGUUUGGAUGGUAUCAUUGUGGAGAUGGUUGGAGAAAAUUUCAUGAAGUGAUUCUUCUAUUAGCUGAGGAAGAAAUUGGAAAAGAAUCAUUAUUUUUUUCUACCCAUUAUUUUAUAUGUAUAUAACUGUGUCGGUUUCUUUUCAAUUUUUUGGUUUGAAUGGAAUUUUAUUAAAUUUGAAAAACCAGUUUAUUUUUCCUCGAAAAAAGAAAUAGUUUAUUUUCUAAUAUAAAAGUGUUAUUCUACCACCUGACCAAAAAAAGUGUUAUUCUACCAAAAAAUAUUUAAUUAAAAGCGUUAAUUAUACCCAAAAAUACAAAAAAAAAAUUGCUUUUAAUUAGUAAAUAUGUUGUGGCUCAUACUCGAAGGUUACUUUAUAAGCCCCCCUCAUAUCUCUCUAGGCCCCCUAAAGUUACAAAAAUAUCCUCAAAUAACACAUUCUGUACAUACCUACGGAAGGUGAAUGUUUUUAAUUUUAUUUUUGCAGCUUCUGUACAUACCUACCGGACAGAGAAUUGAGGCAAAUAUUUAGGAAACUAAUAUGAAAAAAAGCCUGAAACUGAGUCCAUAAAUUCUCCAUUGAUGAAAAGCUUUUAAAACUUUAUAGUUGGAAUCUUUACAAAGGAGUCUAAGAUGAUGUGAUUUGCCAUCUCUAUUUCUCUGUCUACCUUUCAACAGGGACUACAAAGAGAAAAUUUUCAAUUGAGAAAAACUAUGAACUUCCUGAUGAACAAAUGGACAAGUUAUCACAAUUGGGGCUGAGAGGUUUCGUUGCCCAGAAGUCCUUUUCCAUCCAUCUAUGAUUUCAAAAUAUCUAUUUGGAAUGUAACUACAGAAAGUGUAAAUCUGAAAAUGUGAAAAUAUGCCUCCGGUAUGUACAUACCGAAGGUGCAAAAUGUGGAGAGAAAAAAUAUGCACUACCGGUUUGUAUCUACUGAAUGUGUUGUGAAGGUUAUUUUUGUAUUUUUAGGAGGCCUAAAAAGAUAUUGGAGGGGCCUAAAAAGUAACCUUCCAUUCUUAGAAGAAAAAAAAAUGGAAGCCAACAUCCAAACACAUAAAAGCCCACAAUCAAUUAUAAACAUAAACAAUUUGUUGUGGGGUAAAAAUUUUUGUAGUAGGUUUAAUUGGCAAAAAGUUAGAAGAAGGUUGCCAUCAACAAAUCUGAACCAUUCACUUAAAAUAUUAAUAUAUCAAUGGUUAAAACAUCAACUUUUUUAUGAUGGGAAAAAACUUCACUUUCCCAUUUUAAACCCCACCAGCCAAUAGAGAGAAACUACAUCAAAAGCUACACCACCUCAACAAGAACAAAAAGAUAAAUGGAGAAAAUUGAACCCGAAAUUUAUCAAGGACAGUCUCAAUUUGUGUGUUUUGAUACUUUUGUGUCUCAAAAUAAUUGAAUCAUUUGUAAAAUAAAAAAAAUUGUCUCACAAUAAUUUACUCGUUUCGCUUUUCAAUACAAUAUUAAUUACUUUUUUUUUAUUUAUAACUCUAAUUAAUACUACUUUCAUCAUUCCAAAUUUAAUAUCAAUAUAUUGAAUUUGGAGUAACGUAGAAUGUACAAAUAUUUGACAACACACUUAAAACCAUUUUUCACUCUUUCACUUAUAUAUUUUUUCUUAAUAUAUGUGAAAUGAACAAACGACUCACUUAUAUUAUAAAUCAGAGAAGUAUUUAGUUCAAGACUUUGUAUUGCUAAACUUUGACAUGUCUUGUGUUUAGUUUAGCCCCUUUAUUGAACAGGAAAAAAUACCGCAACUUCAGUAUCCCGGGCUAAAUGCCACCCCCCAUUCCCCAUAAGUUGCCAAAAGAAUAAAUAAACUCUGCUUUUGAUACAUAGACAUCCCUCGUUCCAACCAUCUAUGCAUAAAGACUCAAUAUAACGGCAAUUCAUCGAAGUACAUAAACCAAUUGUUUAAGGUGUACUAUUAGAGAAUCAAACCGAGGAACUAGUGGCGGAGCCAGGAAAUUUAUGGAGCUUGGGCAAAAAAUUAAUCGUAAAUUCACAUGUGACAUAAUAUAUAAACAGUCAUAAAUUGAAAGAAAAAUUUUUUUUUUCCUAAAAAAAAUUGAAAUAAAAGAUGUUUAUCAUUUUGUAAACAAAAGUACAAUUUAAAAUAUGAUUAUUAAUUGAAAUUGACCACGUAAUAUACAUGAAGUCUGAAAAUUGACCCUGCUGUAAUUAAAUAACAUGUAUUCUGACCAUGUAAUUCGAGAUUUUUAUUAUUUAUAACAUGUAAUAUACGCGAAGUCCAAAAAAGCAACCGAGAGAUUUAAUUUUUUCAUGAUUUCCUAGAGGCGAGUUAAGAACGUUAAAAUAUGGCUUUAACAAAAAAAAUAUAAAUUUUCGACAAACGACAAAUUAAUUAUGAUUUUUUAAAGUGUCAAAAGCUCAAAAAACAAAACAACGGAAAUCUCAAUCAAUAAAUCGAAUUUUGAGCUCAUUAUUUGCAGAGAGAUCUAUAAAAAUACAUAAAAAGGAUCUGUAAAGUUUCAUAGCAUUUCGAAGUCGUUUAAAUUUAUUUUGAUUUUUCAACUGAAACAUGUAAAAUUGAAAUUUUGUUUCGCGUAAGCGUAUACUCACAAGUCAAAUUUAGUUCCCUAAUUUUGUAGGCAUGACUAGAACAUGAUAAGAACCUUCACAAUGAAAUUUUGUAAUUUUUAAACUAGAUACAAAUUAAUUAUAAAUUGUUUAAGAAAUUCAUAAUUAUGAUGGAAUAAAAAUUCAUAAUUAAUUUAUCCCUGGUCGAAGAAAUUUAAUUUUGAGUAAAGCUAUAUUUUAACGUGCUAAAUAUGUAUGAAAAAAAUAGUGAAAAAAUUCAACAUGUAGGGCACAUUUUUAGACUACACGUAUAUUAUAGAGUGGUCAAAAUUAAAUAAGAAGAAAUUCAAGUUGCAAUGCUAGAAUAUAUAUUUUUUAUUUUAUUGGGUCAUUUUUCAAACAUAAAGUAUAUUACAAGGUCAAUUUGAACAAUUAACCCGUUAAAAUAAGAGAGAUGAACCCGUCAAUAGCGUACUAAAUAAAAUUUCAAGACUUAUUUGCGUGUGACAAUUUUCAGAUUGCCCAAAUUUUUCUUUUUGUAAAUGUGUUAACGGGCUUUUGGGUUGAGUCUAAUGUGCAAAAAUUAUCGAUCGAGCCCGGGCGAUCGUCUGGGGUCGCCAUACGGUAGAACCGCCCCUGCUAGGAACGAGGGGCGGAUCCACUUAGGUGUUAUGUGGAGCUAAAGCUCCACAUGUUUUUUCCUUUUUUUUUUGUUAUAAUUGAUAAAACGAAAAAGAAGUGACUUAGUAAAUAAUUCUCUCAUUUUCCCUUCUCUCUUAGUCUCGUAAAGUCAUUUCUAGUUUUUACGUGACAAAUUAUUGAGGAUGUCUGAGUUUUAUCCAAAUGAUUUUAUAGAUAUGUCGGAAGUGACGUUACGCACUCAACUUGUGAAUUAUGUUACAAAUGUUUAAAAUUUGCUAAGUUCAAAGGGCUUUUAGAUCUUUAUGCAAAACUUGUGGAAACAAAUAAGUGCAAACAAGAUGUAUGUUAGCACACUACUGUAUAUUAGACUAUUUGAUCUGCGAGUUUUUGUGUUUCUUACACAAUCUCGACGAGAAUAAUAUUUAUCGAUUAACAAAAAAUACAUUUAACUAAUUUGCAUUAUUAUACAAGGGUGAUUAAAUGGAGUAAGCCGAAUAGAGGUCGAAUGAAAUGUAAUAUUGAUGCAUCGUUUCCUAAUAAUGAGAACCGAAUUUGAAUAGGCAUUUGCAUUUGGGAUGAUGAAGGUGCAUUUGUGAUUGCAAUAACAUAAUGUUUAACUUCAAAGUGUGAUGUGCACAUUGAUGAAGCAUUGGGUUUGUUGACAACUCUUCAAUGGGUGCAUGAGUUACAUACAGUUAGGGCCUAUAGAGUUCGAACUUGAUUCCAAAAAAAGUGGUUGAUAGCUUUGGAGCUAAUAGGCAUGAUUCGACGGAAUUUGGAGCUAUUAUUAAUUAUUGUAAAAUAUUGUUUAAUCAUUUAUAUGAAAACUCGAGUGUAGAGUUUGUUCGGAGACAAGCAAAUGGGGUUGUCCAUGAAUUAGCAAAGGCGGCCACAUUAUCGAUUAGUUUCCAUAUUUUGGUUAUGCCACCACAUUGUAUUGAACACAUUUUAAUUAAUGAUAUUCUAUAAGUUUUCCCCUCUAAAAAAAAAACUAAUUUGCAUUAUUAUUUAUAUGAAAUUUUAACUACAUAUAUACCGAAAGUAUAGAUUUGCCCAUGGUAGAAACCCGUCAAAAUUUGUUAUUUCCACCAAUUAGUGAAUACUAUCCAUUUUACAAAGCCAUCAUUCGGUUAAGAAACUGUCAAAUUGUUAUCCUGCAUUCACUUAUAAUAGCAUGUGUCUUUCACUGUUAGACAAACAAACAAAUAUUAACAGCUUAAACUUUUUGAGAAUUUGUACAUAUUUUAAAAAAAUAUCAUAUGAAUAUGUAUUUAAUCUCACUUUUUGUACUUUACUACUAAAGAAGGUUUCAGAUUUCGCCACCAGAAUACUUUCCAUGUACUUCUCUUAUUUUAUCAUCACAUCUCUCACUUUCUUCUUUCAAGGUAGUUUUAUGAUCUAUUAAAAAGUUCACGGGGAAAUAAACAUCUAAGUAGGUUUUAGGCUAUGCCAAACUCUUUAAAAAGUUACGUUAGAUCCUUAAAAAAAGUUAUGUUAGAUCCUUAAAAGAUCAGAUUGAGAGACAAGGAAAGGGGCAUGUAAUUUCUUGGAUUGCUACAUGAAUAUCUACAAGUACAGACAAUUCAAUUUAGGAUUAAUGGUGUUUUUGGAUUAUUAUUGAAGAAGAAGAAGGUGAGGGGGGUACAUUACAACAA
RNAcentral lists this long non-coding RNA (7024 nucleotides) under Medicago truncatula (barrel medic). RNAcentral describes it as "long non-coding RNA (MTRU_LNC007681)". The record is from RNAcentral. Lineage: Eukaryota; Viridiplantae; Streptophyta; Magnoliopsida; Fabales; Fabaceae.